UAGAAUACAAAAUACUAGAAUACCAUUUAUUCGGAUUUGAUAAUUUGACGUCAAUUUCGAAUACUAUCAAUUCUCCUUAUACAAAUUAGAUAAUACGUUUAUUUCAGAUCAUAAUUAGAUGACAUAGACAACUGUCAUUAUAUAAAUAUAAACUCCAUAAUAUAGUUGACUUUUAUAAGUCUACUGAACCUAACAAACAAAGCAUAUAAAAAAAACUCACACAUGGAACGUGACAUGCUUUCUUUUCUUUAUAUAAUUCAAAUUUUUAAAUCAAAUAAACAUUCAAUACGCAUAGAACAGAAAUCAUCAAAAGUCGGAUAAUAAAAUUUUAAUUAGUCAAAAACAUUUUUAUUUUUCUCUUUUGAAAAUUGGUUAAUGAGUUUCCAUGUCGGAUUAGGAUAUGAGUGGGGUUGCACACACGUGUUUGGGUCCCAGUAUUUAUGUAUCAAGACAACAGUGAAUUCGAUCACAUUAAUGUUUGUCUCUUCGACGGAUAAAGAGAGUGAAACCACAUGUUGCAUCUACUCUUGUGACACGUAGUACCAUAAAAUAUUGAGUAUUCAUUGUAUUCAUUCUCCACGUAUCCAAAUAAAUACAAUAAUUAGAUAUUUCGAUAGAAAUGUAAGUGUUCAUAUAUACAACAUCAUUAUCACUACAAUACAUAUAUCUGAUAAUUAUUAUAAGCCAUGGACAUGAUGUUACACUUUAACAAAAAACAAUUGUACCAAAAAUAAAAGCUUCUAAAUUUAUGUACAACCAGAUUUUUUUUGUGGUUGUGUAUUUAAACCUUUUAUAAAAAAAAUUUUAAAAAAACAUAAAUAUUUGCAACAUUAGAACAAAACUGAAGUUAAGUGAUUUGAAAAUGAAAAUUAUACUGACCUAGGUAGAAACAUUUGUCAAACUUCUUUAGGGCAUAUUGAUCCAAACAUUGUAAACCAAAUAACUCUGGUUUAGCAAUUCAAAGUUUUUACAAUAUUGGAGUCAACAAUUAAAAGUUAAGAAGUCAAAUUUGUUUGAAUGACUUUUUGGUAGAACAAGUUAUCAAACUUAAUUACUAUUCACUAUCUUGAACACUUCGGUUAUAUCAUAUUAUGUGUCGGGUUUUAUUUGCACUCUAACAAGUAUUGUUGAAUUUUUGUUAUUUUGAACAGGGUCUUGUAAUACUAACAAUACAAGCUCGCUCAUCAUGGCUACAACCACCUAAGUGCCCUUCUAACCCGACAACUUCAUGCCAAGAAGUCCAUGGUGGUCAAGCCGCAAUGUUGUUUUUAGGGCUUUAUUUAGUGGCACUUGGUGUCGGUGGCAUCAAAGGAUCAUUACCUACACAUGGUGCAGAACAAUUUGAUGAGGACAGUGUUAAUGGAAGAAAACAGAGAUCAACGUUUUUCAACUAUUUUGUGUUUUGUCUCGCUAUUGGUGCUCUAAUCGCUGUUACUUUCGUUGUUUGGAUCGAAGACAACAAAGGAUGGGAAUGGGGCUUUGGAAUCUCUAUGUUGACCAUUUUUUUGUCGAUCCCUGUCUUUUUAGCUGGUUCAAGCUUUUAUCGUAACAAGGUUCCCCGUGGAAGCCCUAUAACAACUAUAUUUAAGGUUAUUCAAUAUUUUUAUUUACCCAAUAUUUUUUAUAUUAAAAUUAUUUAUUAUUAAUAAAAAGAUAUAUGUUUUAUCAACCACCACAUAUCAACAAGUCUCUCAACAAACACAAUUUUAUGAACUUUCUCACACAGCCAACACAGUUUUGUGCGCUAUCACACACCAACUUGUACUUUGACUUUGUCGAUUGUUGCAAAAUUAACCCUAGACUAUUGUAACUUUUUAAUUAACGAUCUUGACAUUUGUUGUGUUUGACCUUUGAACAUCAGGUUCUAGUUGCAUCGAUGUUGAACACUUGCAUUGUGAGGAACCCUAGUAACGCCAUUGCGAGUAUCUCUCCUCCGACAUCAAUUAACCGUGGACAACAAACGAUUAACCCCACAAAGCAAUCGGAAGAACCAGAAGCUCCGUCGUCAAGCCUCAAGUUCCUCAACCGGGCGGCGAUGAACAAACCGGCUUGCAGUUUCCUUCGAUGCUCGAUCCUUCAAGUUGAAGAGGUUAAAAUUGUCCUCAAAGUCCUUCCAAUCUUCGGUUGCACAAUUAUGCUCAACUGUUGCCUAGCUCAGCUCUCCACUUUCUCCGUCCAACAAGCGUCCACCAUGAACACCAAGAUCGGUAACCUAAAAGUUCCUCCGGCGUCCCUUCCGAUUUUCCCGGUGGUGUUCAUAAUCUUACUAGCACCGGUUUACGAUCACAUCAUAGUCCCAUUCGCCCGGAAAACCACCAAAUCGGAAAUGGGGAUUUCGCAUUUACAACGAAUUGGAGUCGGGCUACUCCUCUCAAUUUUAGCCAUGGCUGUAGCAGCUCUAGUUGAGAUCAAACGCAAACGGAUCGCCACAACAUCAGGCCUCGACACUCACGAACCACUACCGAUUUCAUUUUUAUGGGUCGCAUUUCAGUAUUUGUUUCUGGGAUCUGCAGACUUGUUCACGUUGGCUGGAUUACUCGAGUUUUUCUUCACCGAAGCUCCGAUAUCUAUGCGAUCUUUAGCCACAUCGUUGUCGUUCGCGUCGUUAGCUAUGGGGUACUACUUGAGUACAGUGAUAGUGUCGGUUGUGAAUAGCGCCACCGGGAGCUCCGGCCACCCUGGGUGGUUGUCCGGCGACAACUUGAACCAUUACAAUUUGGAGAGAUUUUACUGGCUGAUGACUGCGUUGAGUGCACUGAAUUUCCUUCAUUAUUUGUUUUGGGCCCAUCGUUAUAAGUACAGAUCUUUAGGGGUCCAUAACUGAAAUAUAGAAAAGUUGAAGGUGUGUAGAAGAAACUUAGCCGAGCUAGUUUCAAGCUCAUGACAUACAUUUUCAGCUUAGAUUUGUAUAUAUCUGCCAACUGAGAGUGAGAGAACUUGAGGGGUUUCUGCGAGCAUAUUAUAAAUGUUCAUUUUACACCCUUCAUCUUUUCCUAUCCUUUAAUUAUCUUUAAAUAUCUUUUUUUCCAUAAAAAGAUAAAUUUCCCGUGAUCGAUCAUACGUUUUUAAUACUUUUUCUUCUCGUUUUGUUGUUAUUUGUCAUAUGGGUAUCAUAUAAGCAACAAUGUGGAUUUAUAACUUCUAAAGAUUAUGAUACGAUAAGAAAUCGUACACUAAAAUAAAUAAACAGUAUUAUAGCAUAUAACGUAAACAAAGUUUUUUUUUUUUAAUAUAUAAAAUGAAAAGAAAAUAUAGGAUUUUAUAUUACAUCUAUUAAGCCAAUUUCUUUACCUAAAAUAUGAAAACAAGUGUUUCGUACUUAUUUUAUAAUAAAAAAAUAUGAGCAUAUAUUUAAGUACUUUAAUUGAGAUCGAGGCUUUAAUUUCAAAAGGGGAUGUAGCUCAGAUGGUAGAGCGCUCGCUUAGCAUGCGAGAGGUACGGGGAUCGAUACCCCGCAUCUCCAAAACUUUUGAAAUGUUGUUGCUUAAUUCGGUUUCGUUUUUUGUUUUUGUUUCUUUUAAAGUCUUUUUAUUCGGUAAUAUUAUUAAAUUAAAAGAUACUUGCAUAUGUAUUUGGUUCACUAUUCAGUUUGAAACUGAAAUUAAUGAAGUAGGUUUUAGUUUUCGACUUCAUUAUUUUUUCAAUAUUAGAUUUAAUUAUUUGAACUAAUAGAUGUGCAUCCUAUUAAGUUAUAUUCUCUCUCUAAAUAAAAAUAAUUUUGUUACUUGUCAAUUUUUCUAAUGUUUUAAAAUAUAAUAAUAAUAGCAUAUAUGUUUCAUUAACAGACUUUCAUUCUAAUUUUAAAAUUAUUAAAUUAAAACCUCAUUAGUUUUCUUUAUUUAUUUAUCUAAAUUAUUUGUUUAAAUUUAUAAAAAAAAAUACUUUAAUUUUAAUAAUUAAAUAUUUUUUUCAUUUUUUUUAUAAAUUCAAACUUCUCAAAUAUUUAGAAUUUCAUAUUUUCUUUAAAUAAACUCAUAUAAUACAUGGGUCUCACAAUUAUCACUUAUUAGCCGAAUAUGUAAACAUCUUUAUAUUUUGUAUUUUAUGAUUAUAUACCAAGAUUUACUGUAUAUCUUUUUUGACAAUCCAACGGUAUAACAUCUAACACACUUGGUCUGAAUCUGAGAUUUCUUGGAAGCACAAAGACCAUUUAUUCAACUUUGUGUUGAUUUGUAUUAGUUGCAACAAAAGUUGUUGGAACCAUACUUUUAUCAUAAGAUAAUCCACAACCUUUAAUAAAGUUUAUUAUUUUGUCAUAUCGUUAAAAGUUAUUUUUAUAGAUAUUCUAAAUUACAUAUGUUUUUUUCCUAAACAUUUAAAAGUUUAUUCUCGUUUACUUGAAAAGUUUUAUAAAACACCUUUCUUUAAUUUGUGUGUGUAGGCAAAUAAUGCUUUUGCACAUUUUUUUAACCAAAGUACAUGAUUUACAUCUCAAUCAAAAAAAAAAUCAAGUGAAAAAAACGAAUGGGAAUUGAUUGAUAUAUUUUUCCAAACAAAUAAAAGAUAAAACAUAUAUUAUGGAUCAACUAAACCCUUUCAUUAACUUAAAAAUAAAAAAUAAUAAAAUAAUAAACAAAUAAGAAAAAGAAAGAAAGAGCCAUAAGGAUCCCAUAAAUAUUUUAUUCCAAAAAUAAAAAAUAAAAACAAAUAUUUUUAAAAAAUUAAGUGUAGUUACUAAUUAUUCAAGAUGAGCAUGUAUACAUAAUGAAAACUUCAUAUUAAGGAAGCUUAUGUUUGUGUUUAGUUUUUAUCAAAAUAUAUAUACCAAAUAAAAAUGAUAUAAAAAUCAAAUAUUCUCUUACAUUUUAUUCCUACUUAUCAUCCUACUCACCUAUUGUUUUAUAAAACACCCUUCUUUAAUUUGUCGCAUUAGGAAAAUAAAGAUUUUUCACAUUUUUUUAACCAAAGAACAUGAUUUACAUCUAGAUCAAAAUUAAAUAUUGAGAAAAAAAGAAAGGAAUUAGAAUUGAUUGAUAUACUUCACGAAACAAAUAAAGAUAAAACAUAAAUCAUGGAUCAACCAAACCUUCUCAUUAACUUCUUUUAAAUUAAAAAGAAUAAAAAAAUAAAUACCAUAAAAUAAGGUUUGAUCUUAAUAACUAUAAUCCUAGAAAUAUUUCAUUCCAAAAAUAAUAUAUAUAUANUAUAUAUAUAUAUAUAUAUAUAAAAGGACCACCGCCUAGCAAGUUACUAGACGGGGCCAGGAGAACAACAAAGAUAGAAAGAGCAUUACAUCAAGUUCUAUGGUCUCACAAAUAACUCAUUGGACGUAUACACUAUUCAGCACACUUGUAGUUACAAUUUGAUCUCUUAUGUUUUAGCCAAGUAUACACCAAUGAUUUAACGCCAUCAAUAAUCUUAAAGGGACAGGUACAUAUGUUCUUAAACAUCCAAUCGCAUCUCGAUUUCCAUAUCAGUCAUAUCGCGCCAUAGCAUACACUGAUGAGAUUGUUUCUCCUUUUCACACAUCUACCCUAUUUUUUUAUGAAACUGGUGAGAUCUCCAAUAAUGUGAAGCUGCGGUUGAGGAAUUGCACACCAUUUGAACACCCACUCACAUACUGUAGCCGUCACAGGGCAGCGAAUCAGAAUAUGUGUAGUGUCUUCAUCCUCCUGUAAGUAUUGAGAACAUCUAGCAUCUACCCCUAGCAUUCCUAUUCUUAUUAGCACACUAUUGGACAGAAUUCGACUGAGAUUAGCUCUCCAGACGAAAGUUGUGACCUUGAUUGGAACAACAUGUAUCCAUGGAAUAAUCACUUCGUUAAUCGCUGGUUCCAGGUUAUCUAACUUUGAUCUGAGAACAUCUACGUGAUAAUCCCUAAUUCCCUAUCAUUUGUCAUGGCACAUUUCCAUUUAUAUGUCCCUUUUGUCGACUGGAAAUCACCUGUGACAGUUAAAAACAUAUGAAGACUGUGCAUCAGUUCAUCGGAUGUAGGGGCGAUCUCCAAUCCUACGUUUGGCCUGCCAUCUAUAUCCUCUCCUUAAUUGUACAUGCCUUUUGUCUCUCCAGUUGGAACAGUUCUAGGAAUCUAUUUUUUAGGGGCUCCCUAUCACACCAUGCAUCCAUCCAAAAAAGAGUGUCAUCAUGUUCAUUCACUUGUUUCUAUAAAAUCUCUUGAAAGUUGAUUCCAGCCUUUUGUAAUUCCUGAAUUACCCCUGCUAUAUUAUUCCAUACACCUAGGAUAAUUUUCUUUGAUAGUCGCUCAGCAGGUUUACUGUUUAGGCUGUGAAUACCCACGAUUAGUCGAUUACUCUUCUUCAUAAUGUUGAUUUGUUAGUCUUCAAGCCCCACCACCAUUUAAAUAUCAACACUAGGUUAAAGGCACGAAGAGAACCUAAUCCCAAACCCCCUUUCUCCUUUGGUGCUACGACUUUCUCCCAUGAUAUUUUAUGAUUGUUAUCACCUCCACCCCAUAGGAACUGUCUUCGAAUUUUUUCAAGAAUUUCUAUAACUCCCACUGGUGCCACAAAAAUUGACAGGAAAUAGGAUGGAAGGCUACCGAGAACAGCCUUAGCAAGGGUUAAUCUGUGUAAAGCCCGAAAACGGAUCUACAAAUGAUCAAAAACAAAUAAUAUAAGCAAAAGAUGAAACAAUAAGCAAAUAACAAACGAACCAAGCUUGCAUACGCCUUAAAGCAAUAAAACGUCAGAUACAACUUGGAGAAAACACGAAGGCAUCAACAACCUUUAAAGUCUGACACAACGCCUUAUUUAUAGACCUGACUUACAACUGCAUGGAGUUUACGGCCGUAAACACAUAACAACUGUAAACUUAGACAAAAUCGGUUCUUCUUACACAAUCACUACCACUAACUAGUAUGCCUAGACCAAACCAUUAUACAGGCCAAAAUUAAAUUGAGAAAAGAAAAAAAUAGAAAAAAAAACUUAAUCCUCAAAACGUAUCAUUUUCAUAAAUCCGACAAGCACAUCGAAACGAGCUUUGUUAAAUGGCUUUGUGAACAAGUCCGCCACAUUGUUAUCAGUGUGGACUUGUUCGAUUCGAAUUAAAGAACGUUCAUAACAGUCUCUGAUAAAGUGAAUUUUAUUGUCGAUGUGCUUGGUUUUAGAGUGUUGGACUGGGUUUUUAGCUAUUUGAAUUGCCGCUUCAUUAUCACAAUAGAUAGGGGUUUCAAAGUAAUUCAAACCGUAGUCCAACAGCUGAUGUUGGAUCCAGAUAACUUGAGAGCAGCAAGCUGAUGCAGCAACGUAUUCUGCCUCUACUGUUGAGGUCGAGACAGUGUGCUGUUUCUUGCAUUGCCAUGAAACUAAUCUGUCACCUAGGUAUUGACAUCCUCCUGAAGUUGAUUUCCUGUCAAGCUCACAGCCUCCAUACUUACUGUCAGUAAAAGCAUAAAGAUUAAAUUCAGAAUUCUUCGGAUACCAAAGACCCAAUCUAGGGCUUCCUUUGAUAUACCGAAAAAUUCUUUUAACAGCAAUAAGAUGAGAAAGUUUAGGAUUAGCCUGAUAUCGUGCGCAUUGACAGACUGCAAGCAUAAUGUCAGGUCGACUUGCAGUAAGAUACAUCAGCGAUCCGAUCAUCGAUCGAUAGAGAGUUUUAUCUACGAACUCGCCUUCAGGAUCUGGGGACAGGAGAGGUCAUUCAGUCAUCGGUGUAGAAGCAGAUUUAGCAUCGUGAAGCGCAAACUUCUCAAGAAUAUCCUCCACAUACUUGGCUUGAUGUAGUAGGAUUCCGGUUGAAUUCUGUUUAACCUGAAACCCCACAAACAUGGUCAUUUCUCCCAACGAACUCAUUUCAAAUCUUUUCUUCAUUACACUUUCGAACUCUUUGCAAAGCUUUUGGCUUGUUGAUCCAAAGAUUAUGUCAUCGACGUAUAUUUGUACGAGUAUCUGGUCCUUGUCGACAUGCUUUAUGAACAGUGUUUGAUCGAUAGUGUCGCGAGUAUAACCAUGUUCGAGCAAAUGCUUUAUUAGGGUUGCAUACCAUGCUCUAGGAGCUUGAUGCAGCCCAUAUAACGCUUUGUCCAACUUGUAGACAUGAUUAGGAUACUUCGAGUCGACAAACCCUGGAGGUUGAUCAACGUAGAUUUCUUCCUUCACCUUGCCAUACAAGAAGGCAGUCUUGACAUCCAUUUGAAAGACAGUAAAGUUCAUAUACGAAGCAUACGCUAGGAAGAUACGAAUAGCCUCCAGGCGAGCUACUGGAGCAUAAACUUCAGUGUAGUCAAGACCCUCGACUUGUCGAAACCCACGAACUACCAGUCUGGCUUUGUUUCGCACAAUAACUCCUAAAUCGUCCUGUUUGUUGCGAUAGACCCAUUGUGUGUUAAGAGACUUCUUGCCCUUCGGUAACUCAACUAACUUCCAAACACCGAGUUUUUCAAAUUGAUGCAAUUCUUCAUGCAUUGCAUCCACCCAACUAGGUUCGUUUAGAGCCAUUUCUACAUUCUUGGGCUCAAUUUGAGAAAUAAAGCAAGAGUACAGACAUGUAUUCACGUCUCCACUCUGACUUCUAGUUUUAACACCAUCAUCUAGCUGGCCAAUGACGUUUUCGAUCGGAUGAUCCCGUUGAACCCUAGAAGGUAUUUCUUGGCUGAUGUCAUUGAGAGAAACAGGUAGAGUGUGAAUGUUGAGACCUCCUUCAUUUGCUGGUUGAGUAGUACCAGAUGGUUCUGCGACAUACUCAUCUGCAAUAAAAUCAGGGAAGAGUAAUUCCAUAAGGGUUGAAGAGACAGCGGAAGCAUCAUUUGGAACGAACUCUUUCUCUGAAGAUAUGUGAGGUGUCGAUUCAGCAUCAGAAUAAUCAGUGUGGACUGAUUGAGGACUAUCAUGUUCCAAGAACGGCCCCCCUUGAGGAGUAGCAGAGGACUUUCCCGAAGAUGUUGCAGAAGCCUCCCCCUCAAUUGCAGCAGAAGGCUCCCCCUCAGUUGCAGCAGAAGGUCCUCCCUUGUGCAGGUCAGAGGACUCUCCUUCAAGUGAAGCUUUAGAUUUUCCUUUCGAUGAAUCAGAAGGUUUAGAUACAGGCUUGUACACGACUUCUUCAUCUUCAUCUUCAGAGAUACUCUUCCAAUGCGAACCUGUUCUAGAUAUAUCAUUUGAAUACACAUUUAAGGAUUUGAAAAGUGACAUAUAAUCAAACAACCAAUCCGGACCCACUCUUGCGUCUGUCUCAUUCUCUUCCAACCAACGCACGUCAUAGGAUUCCACAAUCUGUUUGGUUUUCUUAUUGUAGACUCUAUAAGCGGUGCGAGCAGCAUACCCUACAAAAUAGCAGUCAUCGGCUUUGGCAUUAAACUUCGGGUUGGCAUCUAGGUGAAGAAGGGUGCAAGGACAGCCAAAUACUCGGAAGUGACUGACUGACGGCUUGUGUCCAUAGUAAAUUUCAUACGGAGUUUUCAUUUGAGCUUUGUUGAUAAGCACUCGAUUCUGAACAUAACAGGCAGUGUUUAUCGCCUCCGCCCAAAAGAAAACAUGCAACUUUGAGUCUCACAUCAUCGUUCUUGCGGCGUCUUUGAGUGUUCUGUUCCGCCUUUCAGCAACACCAUUUUGUUGAGGUGUAUGAGCUGAACUAAAUUGACGCAUGAUACCCUUUUUCAGCGCAGAAGUGAUUGAGAACGGAAUUCUUGAACUCUGUUCCAUUAUCAGUACGAAGCGCCUUCACCCGAUGAUUGGUCUGAUUCUCAACAAGUACAACGAACUUCUUGAUCAAUUCAGUGACACCAGCUUUGUUGGAUAGAAAGAAAACCCACGUAAAUCGAGAGAAAUCAUCAAUCACAACUAAACAGUAAGAACUUCUGUUGAUGCUUAGCACGUUCACUGGACCAAACAAAUCCAUGUGAAGUAAUUGAAGAACCUGACUGAUUGAGUUAACCUGUUUUGGCAAGUGCGGCUUUCGAUGGUGCUUUCCUUGAGCGCAUGACACACAUUUUUCAAACGUGAUAAAGUCCUUGACGGGCAAUCCACGGACCAUCUCAUUUUUCGCAAGACGAUUCAGAUUCUUGGCGUUAGCAUGACCUAAUCUUCGGUGCCACAACAUUGCAGUUUGCUCGGAGAUCUUGGAGAAUAGACAAGUAACUUGUUCUGGGAGAUUGCUAUUCAUAUCAAUAAUAUAGGCGUUCCCAUCCCUUUUUGAUCUUACGAGAAUCCAUUCUUCAGGGAUGACAAAGCCUGGCUUUAAGACCAUGCAUUCCUUGUCAGUGAAAUGCGUAGAAUAGCCCUUGUCACAAAUCUGAGAAACGCUUAGCAGACUGUGUUUUAACUCGGGAGCGAAAUUCACGUUUUCGAAACUUAGAACUCCAUUUGUCACGGUUCCUCUUUGAGUGAUUUUCCCUCCAUCUCCAUCCGCAAAAGAGACAUACCCCCCAUUAAAUGAUUGAAUGAUGUGCAGUUGGGUGAUAUCUCCCGUCAUAUGCCGGGAACAGCCAAUGUCGACGAACCAGGGUCUGACGACAUUUCCCCGCAACUGUCCCUGCAAAAUGUGCGGGUUUAAUUAGAUUUGGGCACCCAGGUCAUGAUCUUCCUGGGUGAUCCCGAUGCCUUUUCAGAUUUAUUGCACUUAAACUUCUCUGAGGACACAGAUGAUGUAUUGGGAGCAGGUUUGGGCCUCCAUUUAUAAUUAGGUUUUCUGAAAAACUCAGUUAACUUUGUCAUUUUAUGCUUAACAAUCUGCUUAAAGCAUGUGUGACUUCUACCAGAGUUGGUUGAAGAUCCACUACUGCUUUGGGAUGAGCUUGACCUUGGCGUGGCUAUGCUCCUUUUUGGCAGACUGCUCGGGACAUGGUGAUUAAAAACCUUUUUAUGUCUGUGAAAAAUAUCCCUUUUUCUAUUUCGUUCAUCUGCCCAAUCAUCAUUUCGAGAGCGACUUCUAGAGGAAUUUCUAUUUAAAGACCUUCCUCUGAACUCGUUCUCCCCUCUUGGAAGAUUAUGACUCACAAACAUUCGGUUAAGACAAUUUCUAGCAAUAUGACCACUAGUACCACAAUUAAAACAAAUCUGCUUGUUAUUGUUAGAACUUGUGCUGCAUUUAUCAGAUUCGUUUUCCCUACGAACACCCUUGCUUGUCUCAUAGGAACAUGCAACAUUAUUAGGUUGUGAGGCAAGUAAGGCUGCUAUACUCAUGGAGGGUUGUGAAACUAGUGGUGUCUCAACAUUUUUAUCACAAACAUUCAAAUUGUCAACCAAAUUGUUCAAAAAUUUAUCAGACAUAUUAGAAGCACUCAAAACUGUAUCAGAAGUAACAACUACUGUAUCAGAAGAAUUAAAAACACCACAAGAAAUAUUGUCACUUAAAACAUUUGAAAAAGAAUUGUCUUUAUUUAAAAUGAAAACUUCAGGUUUAGACUCGAUUUUAUUUUCAGAAACACAUCCUUCAACUUCGUGCUUUGACUGAUUCAAGGAUUGAUCUGCAGGAGAAGUAGAAAUGUUAGUACUUUCAACAUUAAUAAAUCCUCCCGAAAUAAAACCGGAGGGCUUGCCAUAAACCAUAAAUGAUUCAUUGGCAAUCUCUUCUUUGGACAAAGGCUUGGACACAUAUGAAUGAUUGAAAGGAGGGGGUACAUGAUUAUACCCUAGACCUUUUGAUUGAUUCCUUUUAAACUGCAUACUUUGGUCUAUCAUAUUUGCAACCACCUCACUUGAGAAAUCAUAUUUUCUAACAUCAAGUUUGGCGGUCUCAAAUUUUCCUUUCAAAGAUUCAACUUCAGCCACUAGCUCAGCAUUUUGUUUGACUACAUAAUCAUAGUUUUCACAUUUGUUACUGUAGUCUUCCUGGAGUCUCCUAAAGUCCUUAAUUUUAGAUUCUAGUUGAGCUUUAAGUGGUUUUUGUCCUUUUCGAAGUUGGUACCCUUCAUAUCUAAGGUCUUCUACGUUUCUUAUUAAUUUUUCAUUAAGUUCACGAAGAAUCCUAAGAUUUUCUACUUCAUUGCCUAAUGUCUCAAUUUUAUCCUGUAAAAUUUUUACAUAAUCUAUACAAGCCUUAGAGCAUGAUGGAAAACUUACCUUGGACGAAUUAGGUUCAUGGGAAGAGGAUACCAUCAAAGCAAAUUGUAGCUUCAUCACACUGUCUUCAGCUGCUACAAUCCCUGCUGGAGUGUCAUCCCUUACUUGUGCUAGAUGAGCAUUUUCUGGUCCAGACAAAUUGAGAGCUUGUAUUUGAUCAUCCCAGUCGAAAGAUUGUGCAACCAUAGCCUUUUCAUUGUUUGCUUGACCACUGCUUCGGUUGUUCCCAACUGCAACCAUUGUUCUGUCAUUAUUAACCCUUCUAUCGGGGUGUGGGCAAUCACGAGCAAAAUGCCCUGGCUCGUGGCAAUUGAAACAUCGAAGCUUUCCUUUGUUGAAUCCAACCUUCUUGUCAGCACUCAUUCCCCAAUUGUUCUUCCCUGUCUUUUUGGCAAACUGUUUUGCCCUAAAUACAGCCAUGGCAAUUUGCCAUGUGAUGUCCAUUUCCUCAACGUCCUCCGGAUGGAUUUGAUCAAGAUCUGCAAAUGACAAUUGAGGCGGAAGCUCCCCAGCUACAAGUGCAUUGUAGCAAUUCACUAGCCCUGCUGCAAAGACAAGGUUUUCAUCACCCUCCUUUCCUUUUGAAGAAGAGGCUACAUUUGAAGAUGGAGCAGUUUGGGUAGACAGUAAUGGUUGACUUUGUGGGUAGGGAAUGACUGGUGCAAAGGAAGAUGAACCUGCAGUGGUAUAAGAGAAAGAAGAAAGAGCAUUGUUAGUUGAAAUGCCAAGGUUGGCAGCUGAGUAGGAGUUCACAUGAUUGAUCUCUCGCUGCUUGUCAUCAAUAUCACACGCUUUGAUGACAACCAUCACUUCAACUAGAGAAAGGCGAUUAAGAUCCUUAGUCUUCUUAAUCACAACUACGUUCAUGUCCCAAGACUUUGGGAGAGCAUUUAGUAGCUUCUUAUUAAUUUAUGACUUUUUAUAGAAGAUCCCUGCCACAGUCAUCUCCGUGUUGAAUCGCUGCAGUUGAGCCUCUAGAUUCUCUCCAGGUACAUAGUUAAACAUGUUGAAUCGUUGCCUCAACAUAUCUUGGCGACUCUCUCGCAUGUCUUGAUUUCCCUCAUAUACUUCAAUAAGGGCUUCCCACAGUGCUUUAGCAGAAGUAUACUCUCUGAAUCCUUGAGCAAUGUCUGGAGAUAAGGCCAUAGUCAAAAUGGCCAAUGCCUUUUCUUGUUCUUCUACACUCUCAAAAUCUUCAUCAGUGUAGUUUUCAAUUUUCUUGUCAACCACCUGCCCCCCAACUGUAGUGGUGAUUCUGACUGGAUCCUUUAUAACACAUUUCCAAAUCUUGAAGUCCUUCAUCUUUAUAUAUUUCUCAAUUCUAUAUUUCCACUCGGGGAAACCAUCAGCAGACAUGAGUCUUGGAAUGCGCGUGGUUGUUCCCAUCAUAGCAUCGAGUUCUUGAUAUUGAUUAGUAUUUUGUGAUUCCAUUUUUUUAAAUUAAAUUUAAUUAAUUAUUAAAUAAAACUUAAUUUUCAAUUAAAAAAAUUUAAUUAAUUUACUGUUUACUGUAAAUUCCGAAAAUUACUUAACUAAGAUUCAAGACAAGUUUACUGCUGAGAAAUGUUUACGGCCAUAAACUCCUAGUUUACGGCCUGUGAACCUUUUGAAUUCUGAAACAAAAAAAUUUAAGAUGCAAUUUAUCUAAAAUCGAUUAUCAGGUAAUUGAUUUACGACCAAUGAUUUUCUGUUAAAAACUCUAGUUUACAGCCAAUGAUUUUCUGUUAAAAACUCUAGUUUACGGCCAAUGAUUUUCUGUUAAAAGCCUUAAGUUUAUUUAUUUUUAAGAAUUUAAAUGCAAUGAAAUAUGAUUAUUAAAGCCUUAAAUUAGGAACUCGAUUUGCUGGAGAAGAAAAUCGUUUGCGGUGUUUGAGCCUUGAAUAGCUUGCGGCCGUGAACUUGGUGUUUACGGCCGUAAGCUCGGACCGUGAGCUUCUGAACACACGAAAUUCGACUGGAAUAAAACCCUUCUUUCGCUGUGAAUAUCGUUUUGAGCAAAAUCGCAACUGUAGGAUGUCUUUGACACUAGUCUCGCUCUGAUACCAAUUGUAAAGCCCGAAAACGGAUCUACCAAUGAUCAAAAACAAAUAACAGAAGCAAAAGAUGAAACAAUAAGCAAAUAACAAACGAACCAAGCUUGCAUACGCCUUAAAGCAAUAAAACGUCAGAUACAACUUGGAGAAAACACGAAAGCAUCAACAACCUUUAAAGUCUGACACAACGCCCUAUUUAUAGACCUGAUUUACAACCGCAUGGAGUUUACGGCCGUAAAGAGUUUACGGCCGGAAACACAUAAAAACCGUAAACUUAGACAAAAUCGGUUCUUCCUACACAAUCACUACCACUAACUAGUAUGCCUAGACCAAACCAUUAUACAGGGUCUUUCAAUCUGCCUCCAAAUGAGAGUGUUUUUGCUUUCCAUGGAGAAAGUUUAGCAUAAAAUCGGUCAAUUAUGGGUUUUCAAUGCUUCUUUAACUUCAUGUUCACACCCACAGAUACUCCAAGAUACGUGAAGGGUAAUGAAGUAGGUUCACAUCCUAAUGGCACAGCCCACCAAGUGACUUCCCGCAUAUCAACUCCAAUGCCAAACACCCUUGACUCGUUGAAGUUGACUUUCAAACCGGAUGACACUUGAAAACACCUCAAUAUAUAUAAGUGUAGUUACUAAUUGAUGAUGAGCACGUGUGCAUAAUGAAAACUUCAUAUUAAGAUAGUUUAUGUUUGAUUUAAUUUUUAUCAAUAUAUAUAUAUAUAUAUAUAUAUAUAUAUAUAUAUAUANNNNNNNNNNNNNNNNNNNNNNNNNNNNNNNNNNNNNNNNNNNNNNNNNNNNNNNNNNNNUCCACUUAUUUUCCUACUCACUAAAUGAUCUUAUAGCUACAACUUUUUAAUAUUUUACAUUGUAUAAUCUGAUGGACUUGAAAAUGCUCUUUAAUUAUAUCAUACACUAGAUUAAAGUCAAAAAGUUAAUAAAAAUAUAAACAACAAAUGCAAUUAAAGGAGAUAAAUUGAAAAUGUCAUUAAGAAUAAGAUGACGGUAUUAUAUGUAAUAUGAACUGUUUUAUUAUCAACUUCUCACUUCAAAAAAAAAACGUCAAAAAUCCAAACACCCCCUAAAUGCAACUGUGACAACAGCUUCAACUUGAAUCGAACCAUAAAUAUAUCAACCAUAGUUUCACAAUAAGUUCCAAAAAGACAUUCUGCAAAUUUUCAGCUACUUCUAUAUUAUACAUCAAUUUCACAAAUCCUCCAAAAAACCACUUUUAUGUCACGAAUCAGAAGUUGUGGCAAUCAUCCCUGAGCUCCUCACUGCAACUUUCACAGCACCCACCACACUAAGUUGCCUGAUCUCCGGGCGUAGAUUCUUGUUUUCAUGGCUUCCACAGUUCAAAUCCAUCUGAACCUCCACAAAAUAUGCUAUCUGUCACGGAUUAAAGUACUACAUCUUAAGUCAUACCACAAUAUAAAAUCAUAAACAACACUUAGCCCCCUUUUGCUACACUACACUAGACAGGACAGUACAUGACAGGUUGUACUACAUUGGACUGGGACUGGCACUAAUGUCGAUGGGACAAAACUGUAACUUCUUGUCCCACCCAAAAAGGUAAAAAUAGAACAGAACAAGUUAUACUGCAUUUGGCAUGCAUUAGACUGGGACUAGAACUGUUAGCAACAAUGUGUACUGCAUUUGGCAUGCACUGGACUGAGACUAGUGGGACAAGAACUGUAAUUUCUUGUCCCGCCCAAAAUGGUAAGAACAAGUAACGCGCAUUUGAAAACUAUUACCUUGCCUGAGGCAUUCCGUACGGGAGACAUGUGCAAAAAGUUCCAAAAUGGGCUCCCGUUUUUUCUGAAAAAUAUCAUCAAUAAUCAAGAACUAUAAUAAUUAUUCGUCAUAAAAUUUUAAAUUAUCAAUAAUAGAUGCAAACCUGUAAUUUAGGAUGCAUACAGUACAGGCUUUUCCUGUUUGAAUGCUAUUUGUAAUCUGCAUAUGAUCAUAGAAAAACCAUCUUGGAUUUAUUAUUCAUCAAACCCUAUAAAAAGUAAAUCCAAAUUUUGACAAAAUGGUUUUGAAUUCAAAAACCUGUAAAUGAGUUGAGACAUCCGUUUCCUUCCCGCUUAAAAAUCUGCAAUUUCGCCCCAAUACUUCAUGUCUACCAUAUCCUAAUAACAAUAAUAAUAUCAUUUAAAACUAGAAAACAGAUCGAAAAUCUCACCAUGGAUUGAUAUUCUUACAAAAAAUUUGACCAAAACAAUGAAGGGGGUAAAUUUGACUAUUUUGACCCUAAAUAAGUCAAAUUUUCACGUACCUGUUAGUUCUAGGAAGGAGUCACUCGCGUACACGAUUGGGAAAUCGGAUUUAUGUGGAUCCGUCCUAAAAGGGGACAAUAUUUUGUGUAAAAUAAGAGUUGGAAAUGUUUGUAGGUGUUUAGAUAUGUGAAAUAAAAUCGAGGAGAUUGAAAUAACUCACAAGACAAAGCUUUGUUUUAUUCUACCAAGAGAUAUAUUUAAGGAUGCCCCAACAAGGCUCAUGUUACUCGGGCAGCAUCUUUUAUCAGAAACCAAUCUGCCCGUUGACUCACUGUAAUGUGUUAGCAUGGAAACUAUGUUGCUAAUUGCAGUGUUGACUCGUCUUUUUUCCAAAUCACUCACCUUGCACGCAGUGUCAUGUAAUUCUGUAUGAAAAAAGUAGAAAUCUGUUUAGUCAUUCUUUCAUUUUGGCAUCAAAUAUAGUACAUAAAAGUUAAAAGUUAGGUUUUUUUUUUGUUUUUUACCUGUAUCAUCGGUUAAAAUUUGAUCCAAAUUUGAAAUGCGACCCAAUUCGGCCACCGUAUCAGAACACACCUCCCUCCUACAAAACCCAAGAACGGUAUCACGAAAACCCGACCCAUUUUCACACAAAUUCAUCUCGAUUCUUGAAAAUUCACUCCCGGAUCUUCUUGGUUUAGGCAUAAUUGGGACUUGAACACCGACAAAAUGGAUCACUCUUCCAUCUUCCUUGCUGAAAACAGGAAACAUGUGGAACAAAAUCCAAAAGGGUGUCCCAUUUUUAUGGUAAUUUAAUAAACUAACUUGUAUACUUCUUUCUUCUCUAAUGGCUUCCCUUAUCUCCAUUACUGAUCUCCUAUUAGUCCUACUACCUUGAAACAUCCUUCCGUUCUUUCCAAUCACCUCUUCUCUUGAAUACCCAGACAUUUUCAAGAACUCCCUUGAUGCAAAAACAAUCGGGUGACCCGAAAUUAACGGGUCGGUUAUGGUGAAACUAUGGGGUAGUUCGUCAAGAGCUUCUCGGACCCAAAUUGAGUACCGAUUAUUGAUGGAUUGUUCAAUUGAAGUACCCAUUGGUUGUUGCUCCAUGAAUAUUGAAACUUUGCUUGAUUUUCAAACUCGAUUUCGCUUAAUACAAAGAUUAAUCCCAAUCCCAUGUGGUAAAGUUGGAGAAUUUUUGGGCUUUUUCAGCUUUCAAUGGAUUAAACAACUAAAACCCCAAACUAGAGAAAGGGAAAGAAAGCAAAAAAAGAUACUAUCUUUACAGCAUACAAACUUUAUACCUACAAAACGCCAUAAUUUCAAAGUUCGUGAGUGAGAAAGAUGGAGAAUUUUGUUAUUGGUUUUGAAGAAAAUGAAAAGACACAGCAAAACUAUAGGUUUUCAUAACAUAAAGAUUGAAGAAUUUAAGGGGCCCAUAAAUAUGCAGUUGUGAAGUAAUUGAGUGGAGAAAAACCUCUUUUGUGAAAAUAUCUAUGAAGUUGUUCAAGGCUACGAGAUACCCAUCUGAUGCAUGAACAGUGGAAGAGGGAAUAACUCAAAGUUUGUGGAGAGGAGAGAGGGGAAGGCCACGGCGAAGGUGAAUCACGAAAAAAAGAAAAUAAUGGAAAAUGGAAAAUGAGAGGGGCUUCUAAAAGAUUAGAACGAACCAAAUAUGGGUUAUAGUUUAUGUAAUAAUGGAAAUUUAUAGAAUCAGAUGUUAUCCAACCACGUCGGAUUAGUUUAAAAGUCAAAAUAUACAAAUAUUAUUUUGAAGUAAUUAAAUACUUUGAUUUGAUUUUGUUAUCAAGAAAAACAAAUAACUAUUUCUACAAAUCAUCUUAAUCUUUAUUUUAAUAAAUAAAUAAUUUUAAUUUUUUUUUUUGACAAUUGCCACUCUAAUAUAAUUCAAUUAAUAUUAUGUCAUGUAUCAUAUAAAUAUACUCUAAUAUAAUUCAAUUAAUAUUAUGUCAUGUAUCAUAUAAAUAUAUUAGGCAACUCAUUACAAAAUUCAAAUUUAUAUUUUCUAGUUAUAUGUUUAAUUUGAAGUUAUAAUAACUUUAAAAAUUAAUAUAUCUCUUAAUUAAUAACUUAUUUAAAAUGAUUUGUUUAAAAUAAUUGAUUAUUAAUUAUAAAUUUUUAUUAUGAAAAUUUAAUUAAUUUUAUAACCCGUGGUUCAUACGGGUUAUAAACUAGUUUUUCAAUAAAUAACUAAAAAAAAUUGUCAAAAUUUCAAAAUAACCAUUUGAAUAUGACAUCUAAGAAAAGCUUGUAUUUUUUUCUUUUAAAAAAAUAAAAUUGUAUUUUUUUUUUCAUCCAUACUAAAAAAUGAAAUUUAACAACCUGCAAAUUCUGAUAUGUGUUGCAUAGAAAGAAAUAAUGGUCGUACUAUAAUAUCUAUUUUUGAAAAUUUAAGAAAUCCAACAAAAAUUUGUUUGUCUGAUAUCAUUUCUCCACGGAAAAAAAACACAACUUCAAAUUUUCAAGAUGAAUAUUUUGUUGUUGCUUGUAUCGAUGGUUCAUGGCAAUUAAAAAACUGAUGAAUACAUAUAUGUUAAGUCUUUUGUUAAAAUCUAUGGUGUAGACUCGCCUCGAACUGAAGAUAACAAAAUCACACACACGCAACUGCUACAAGGGCUCCUCACACAGAACAUAUCCAAAAUCAUUCCUAAUCAGUAAUUAAGGUAAUAACCCAUUACCAAAGUUCCGUUUCUUAUUAUAUCAUACUAAGAGUGAAAGAACAUUUUACCCUUCCUAUACUUGGCCCAACAAUUCAUGGCCCAAAACCCAACUAACUCAAGGCCCAAAAAUGACCCAUAUUGACUUUUGGUGAGUAUGCCCCGCGUACCACCCCAAUACGCCCAACGUACUGUUUGAUCUAAGAGAAGGUAAUGGGUUGAAACCCAUUACGCACAACGUACCAGGAAGGUACUCCCGGCGUACUACUCAACUGCCCAAACUCAACUUUAAGCUCUUAAUGCUUAAAGACAAAAACAUCCAAUUCAUAGAUCUAACUCUAAGGCACGUCUUAAGUCAUAAAGGUCUUGACUUUAUGACUUUUCAUGGCUUAAUGGAGUCCAAACCAAAGCCCUAGAUUCAUAACUUUACCAAAUUAAGGAACGUUGGGGAAUGUUGAGCGUUCGUUGGGAACGUAGGGUGUUCGUAGGCAAGAUGAAAACCCUAAAUUAAGGUCUUGGACCCAAUUUAAAGACCUUAACUCACCUCCAACCCUCAUUUCCUUUAGUCUUCAUUCUUUCUAACCCUAAGUACAAAACCCUAGCCUCCAUUUGAGUGAUUCUUGAGCUUCAAAGUGAUUUAUGAGUAUUUUGGUGCUUGAGUAUGAAGAAGGAACUUCUUGAAGAGUCAUUUUUUGAUUUAGAGCUUUUGGAUCCAGGCCUUGUGCACCUAGAUUUAUCUUCUAGAGGUAUAAAGUCUCAACCUUGGCAACUCUUUCAUGUAGAUCUAGCUAAGUGGUAUUUUGUUAUGGUUUUGGUCCCUUUGAGAUGGUUCUUGUGAGUAAAAGUUACUCCAGAACCUGUAAGCUUCAUAUUUGGUCCUUGUUGGGGUUGUGGAGUCAUAAAGUUUGGAUCUUGAUAAGUAUAAACCAUCCAUGCAUGAUUUGGUAGUCUUUUGGUGAAGCUUGGGACUUAGGGUUUUGAUUUGGGUCUCAUUAAGUGAUGCUAAGUCAUAAAUUCAGGAACUUUAUGACUUAAGAAGUCCCUUUGUAUCAAAUAUGGAAGUAUGGACAGAGGUCUUAAGGUAUUAAGAAGUUUUUAAGAUAUUUUUGGGUGAUUUUGACCUUUGUAGUUCAUCUUUGGUGUUGGGCUUCAUUAAGCCAUGCAAAGGCUUAAAGCUUUCGACUUUAUGGAUCAAGUCACUUAUAUUUAGCUAUUCUGAGGUUUUCGACAUUUGGAUUAAAGGAUUAAGUCAUUGGAAUGACUUUUGGGUGGCCGCCAGGAACGUUGCGGGUACCAGUGGGGAACGUCGUGCGUUCUGUCUAUGAUGCCUGUUUUUGGACCAGCAACCUACGCCGUGCGUACGUCUGAUCAGAUGGUAAAUGGACUUUGUGGGCUUGGACUCUUUUGGUACGGGCUUCAGUUAGGCUGAUUUGUUUUUAUUGGGCUUAGUUGUCAUGGACCCUUUUGAGCCAUUAGGUUUUGGUCUGAUGGUUAUUUUGAAAAGGUCUACAAUGGGGGAGCCCAUGCCACUUGGGUAUCAGACCAUGAGGGUAGCCCAUAGCAUUCCAGGUCAAGACCAUGGUGCAGCCCAUGGCAACUAUAUGUAUGUUGCAUGAUAUUUUGUGGUUAUAUGUGAUGGGUUUUGGUCAUAAGACAUCCUAUGUGCUCAUACAAACCCUAAUGCUUGGAUCUAGGUUUCUCUAUUGUACAUACUUUGAAUCCAAGACUAUAAACCCUAAUUCUAGCAUAUGGAAAUUAGAAUACACAUGUAAUUAGGUUUAAGAACAUACCUUGAUUGUUAUAUAGGAACAACAAUCCAAUUCCUCCUUGAAUUGACCUUGGAAAGCUGAGAGUCACAAGUGUCACUCCUCUAAUGGCUUACAAACACCAUAAGCAAGUGGAGAAGGUAUAUAGAGAGAGGAGGGAGGUAGGAAUUCGUCCUUAGAUGCUCUAGGGAUCAAGUACACGAAUUCCAAGGCCUUAGGGGUCUUUAUAUAGGGUUGGGAUUAGGUUUUCAGUCCUUAUCCUUAUCUAGUUGCUUGUCCACCAAGCAACCAUAAGAUAACUCUUAGAAACCCUUAUUCUAGUCGAAUUCUAAGUGAUUAUCACCUCAAAUUUGUUCACCAUAUAUAUAAGAUAAUCCUUACCUUAUUUUGUAACUAUCACAUAAUUACAAUUCAGCCCCUCUAGUUUAAUUAAUUACACUUGAUCACAAAAUUAAUUCUUAAUUAAUUAUUGACCAAUAUUAAUUAAACAAAUAUGAUUUCUCCUUUAAUAUAUUAUUCUUAUAACAUAUUAAUAAAUCAUAAUAACCUCUCUCUCUUUAUUUAUUUCUCCAAUCAAGUUGCUUUGGUGAAGGCAACCCAAAAGGACCAUGCACCAUCGGGUCAAGUACAUACCAAAAUAGUUAUGGACUUAGACACUAAUCCAACAGUCUCCCACUUGGAUAAGUCUAAUAACUAUUCUGCGUAUGACUUCGGAUCCUGAUCUGCAAUCGUAGCUUUCCAAAGCCGCUGUCAACUCUGAUCAUAUCAAAUACGCGUGUCCUUAGAUAAGGGAUCAUAUAUUCCUCCAUUCUAGAUAUCAUAUGAGAUAUGAUUUCAAAUCAUUCUCUUUGUACUAUAUCUCGAUUUCCGAUUUAUGACGACUGACUAAUUGAACAAAUCAAAUUAGCCCUAGCCCGGCCGAGCAUUUACGUUUGUCAUCACUAAACCAUCGAGGGGCCCAAAGAUAUCGCUUUUAUCCUACUUUGGAUAAAAGGAACGGAUAAACUUUGAUACAAUGCUUGCUUGCACUCACUCACCGAAUCACACACAACAAUAUGUUUUAUAACACCAAGUUACUAGUGCGUUUACAUAUUAUCAAUGUGCAACCGAUUUGCAAGAUACAACUCACACAU
This 21776-nucleotide long non-coding RNA is filed under the name Lactuca sativa (garden lettuce). RNAcentral describes it as "long non-coding RNA (LSAT_LNC008129)". The stretch from base 3391 to 3463 matches the Rfam family "tRNA". Lineage: Eukaryota; Viridiplantae; Streptophyta; Magnoliopsida; Asterales; Asteraceae. The record is from RNAcentral.